GAUGAACGCUGGCGGCGUGCCUAAUACAUGCAAGUCGAGCGAACAGACGAGGAGCUUGCUCCUCUGACGUUAGCGGCGGACGGGUGAGUAACACGUGGAUAACCUACCUAUAAGACUGGGAUAACUUCGGGAAACCGGAGCUAAUACCGGAUAAUAUAUUGAACCGCAUGGUUCAAUAGUGAAAGACGGUUUUGCUGUCACUUAUAGAUGGUUCCGCGCCGCAUUAGCUAGUUGGUAAGGUAACGGCUUACCAAGGCGACGAUGCGUAGCCGACCUGAGAGGGUGAUCGGCCACACUGGAACUGAGACACGGUCCAGACUCCUACGGGAGGCAGCAGAAGGGAAUCUUCCGCAAUGGGCGAAAGCCUGACGGAGCAACGCCGCGUGAGUGAUGAAGGUCUUCGGAUCGUAAAACUCUGUUAUUAGGGAAGAACAAAUGUGUAAGUAACUAUGCACGUCUUGACGGUACCUAAUCAGAAAGCCACGGCUAACUACGUG
Molecule: ribosomal RNA, 497 nt
Filed under: uncultured bacterium
Lineage: Bacteria
Description: partial 16S ribosomal RNA
Rfam family: Bacterial small subunit ribosomal RNA
Source: RNAcentral